Molecule: transfer RNA, 71 nt
Filed under: Paenibacillus sp. MMS18-CY102
Lineage: Bacteria; Bacillati; Bacillota; Bacilli; Caryophanales; Paenibacillaceae
Description: tRNA-Asn
Rfam family: tRNA
About the family: Transfer RNA (tRNA) molecules are approximately 80 nucleotides in length.
Source: RNAcentral
AGGGGUAUAGCCAAGCGGUAAGGCAACCGACUGUUAAUCGGUGAGCACAGGUUCGAAUCCUGUUUCCCCUG